This 497-nucleotide ribosomal RNA is filed under the name uncultured bacterium. RNAcentral describes it as "partial 16S ribosomal RNA". It matches the Rfam family "Bacterial small subunit ribosomal RNA", at positions 28 to 507 of the family's 1533-position model. The record is from RNAcentral.
GAUGAACGCUGGCGGCGUGCCUAAUACAUGCAAGUCGAGCGAACGGACGAGAAGCUUGCUUCUCUGAUGUUAGCGGCGGACGGGUGAGUAACACGUGGAUAACCUACCUAUAAGACUGGGAUAACUUCGGGAAACCGUAGCUAAUACCAGAUAAUAUUUUGAACCGCAUGGUUCAAAAGUGAAAGACGGUCUUGCUGUCACUUAUAGAUGGAUCCGCGCUGCAUUAGCUAGUUGGUAAGGUAACGGCUUACCAAGGCAACGAUGCAUAGCCGACCUGAGAGGGUGAUCGGCCACACUGGAACUGAGACACGGUCCAGACUCCUACGGGAGGCAGCAGUAGGGAAUCUUCCGCAAUGGGCGAAAGCCUGACGGAGCAACGCCGCGUGAGUGAUGAAGGUCUUCGGAUCGUAAAACUCUGUUAUUAGGGAAGAACAUAUGUGUAAGUAACUGUGCACAUCUUGACGGUACCUAAUCAGAAAGCCACGGCUAACUACGUG